AUUGAACGCUGGCGGCAGGCCUAACACAUGCAAGUCGAACGGUAACAGGAAGAAGCUUGCUUCUUUGCUGACGAGUGGCGGACGGGUGAGUAAUGUCUGGGAAACUGCCUGAUGGAGGGGGAUAACGACUGGAAACGGUAGCUAAUACCGCAUAACGUCGCAAGACCAAAAAGGGGGACCUUCGGGCCUCUUGCCAUCGGAUGUGCCCAGAUGGGAUUAGCUAGUAGGUGGGGUAACGGCUCACCUAGGCGACGAUCCCUAGCUGGUCUGAGAGGAUGACCCGCCACACUGGAACUGAGACACGGUCCAGACUCCUACGGGAGGCAGCAGUGGGGAAUAUUGCACCAUGGGCGCAAGCCUGAUGCAGCCAUGCCGCGUGUAUGAAGAAGGCCUUCGGGUUGUAAAGUACUUUCAGCGGGGAGGAAGGGAGUAAAGUUAAUACCUUUGCUCAUUGACGUUACCCGCAGAAGAAGCACCGGCUAACUCCGUG
Molecule: ribosomal RNA, 490 nt
Filed under: uncultured bacterium
Lineage: Bacteria
Description: partial 16S ribosomal RNA
Rfam family: Bacterial small subunit ribosomal RNA
Source: RNAcentral